Molecule: transfer RNA, 72 nt
Filed under: Bacteroidaceae bacterium
Lineage: Bacteria; Pseudomonadati; Bacteroidota; Bacteroidia; Bacteroidales; Bacteroidaceae
Description: tRNA-Met
Rfam family: tRNA
About the family: Transfer RNA (tRNA) molecules are approximately 80 nucleotides in length. Their secondary structure includes four short double-helical elements and three loops (D, anti-codon, and T loops).
Source: RNAcentral
CGCGGCGUGGAGCAGUGGUAGCUCGUUGGGCUCAUAACCCAAAGGCCGGAGGUUCGAUCCCUUCCCCCGCUA